AACGAACGCUGGCGGCAUGCCUAACACAUGCAAGUCGAACGAGACCUUCGGGUCUAGUGGCGCACGGGUGCGUAACGCGUGGGAAUCUGCCCUUGGGUUCGGAAUAACAGUUGGAAACGACUGCUAAUACCGGAUGAUGACGUAAGUCCAAAGAUUUAUCGCCCAGGGAUGAGCCCGCGUAGGAUUAGCUAGUUGGUGGGGUAAAGGCCUACCAAGGCGACGAUCCUUAGCUGGUCUGAGAGGAUGAUCAGCCACACUGGGACUGAGACACGGCCCAGACUCCUACGGGAGGGAGCAGGGGGGAAUAUUGGACAAUGGGCGAAAGCCUGAUCCAGCAAUGCCGCGUGAGGGAUGAAGGCCUUAGGGUUGUAAAGCUCUUUUACCCGGGAUGAUAAUGACAGUACCGGGAGAAUAAGCCCCGGCUAACUCCGUG
Molecule: ribosomal RNA, 433 nt
Filed under: uncultured bacterium
Lineage: Bacteria
Description: partial 16S ribosomal RNA
Rfam family: Bacterial small subunit ribosomal RNA
Source: RNAcentral